This 492-nucleotide ribosomal RNA is filed under the name uncultured bacterium. Its description in RNAcentral is "partial 16S ribosomal RNA". It matches the Rfam family "Bacterial small subunit ribosomal RNA", at positions 29 to 507 of the family's 1533-position model. The record is from RNAcentral.
AGUGAACGCUGGCGAUAGGCCUAACACAUGCAAGUCGAACGGCAGCACAGUAAGAGCUUGCUCUUACGGGUGGCGAGUGGCGGACGGGUGAGGAAUACAUCGGAAUCUACUUUUUCGUGGGGGAUAACGUAGGGAAACUUACGCUAAUACCGCAUACGACCUACGGGUGAAAGCAGGGGAUCUUCGGACCUUGCGCGAUUGAAUGAGCCGAUGUCGGAUUAGCUAGUUGGCGGGGUAAAGGCCCACCAAGGCGACGAUCCGUAGCUGGUCUGAGAGGAUGAUCAGCCACACUGGAACUGAGAUACGGUCCAGACUCCUACGGGAGGCAGCAGUGGGGAAUAUUGGACAAUGGGCGCAAGCCUGAUCCAGCCAUACCGCGUGGGUGAAGAAGGCCUUCGGGUUGUAAAGCCCUUUUGUUGGGAAAGAAAAGCAGCAGGUUAAUACCCCGCUGUUCUGACGGUACCCAAAGAAUAAGCACCGGCUAACUUCGCG